GCGAUAAUACGGGAGGGUCCGGGGCGUUUUUCCGGAUUUUUUGGGUUUAAAAGGGAGGGGUGGGCCGAGGAUAAAGCGUGUUUGAAAUUGUAGCGGUUCAAAGUCUGCCUGGCAGCGCGAACUGGUUUCUUUGAGUACGCACAAAGUGGGCGGAAUUCGUGGGUAGCGGGUGAAAUUGCUUAGAUAUCACGAAGAACUCCGAAUGGAAAGGCAAGCUCACUGGAGCGCAACCUGACGCUGAAGCUCGAAAGUGCGGGUAUCGAACAGGAUUAGAUACCCUGGUAGUCCGCACGGUAAACGAUGGAUGCCCGCUGUUGGUCUGAAUAGGUCAGCGGCCAAGCGAAAGCAUUAAGCAUCCCACCUGGGGAGUACGCCGGCAACGGUGAAACUCAAAGGAAUUGACGGGGGCCCGCACAAGCGGAGGAACAUGUGGUUUAAUUCGAUGAUACGCGAGGAACCUUACCCGGGCUUGAAUUGCAGAGGAAGGAUUUGGAGACAAUGACGCCCUUCGGGGUCUCUGUGAAGGUGCUGCAUGGUUGUCGUCAGCUCGUGCCGUGAGGUGUCGGCUUAAGUGCCAUAACGAGCGCAACCCCUCUCCUUAGUUGCCAUCAGUUGAAGCUGGGCACUCUGGGGACACUGCCACCGUAAGGUGUGAGGAAGGUGGGGAUGACGUCAAAUCAGCACGGCCCUUACGUCCGGGGCUACACACGUGUUACAAUGGCAGGUACAGAGAGAUGGUCCUUUGCAAAACGGAUCAAAUCCUUAAAGCCUGUCUCAGUUCGGACUGGGGUCUGCAACCCGACCCCACGAAGCUGGAUUCGCUAGUAAUCGCGCAUCAGCCAUGGCGCGGUGAAUACGUUCCCGGGCCUUGCACACACCGCCCGUCAAG
This 889-nucleotide ribosomal RNA is filed under the name uncultured bacterium. Its description in RNAcentral is "bacterial SSU rRNA". It matches the Rfam family "Bacterial small subunit ribosomal RNA", at positions 517 to 1401 of the family's 1533-position model. The record is from RNAcentral.